UGUCAUACUCCCGACCUGAAAAGGAUUUCUUCUCUUAUAUUUACCAGGGUGGUCAGGGCAGCUCUCUGGAAUCACACAGAGCCCAGUCUCCGGGGCCUCAAUCCCAGAAAGUCUUUUUACCCCUCUGUGCCAAUAACCUGGACAUUUUGGACAUUACCAGAAUCAGACGAGUCUCCAGUGUUUCAAUAGUGGUGUGUUUCAUCAGUGCAGAGGUCAGAGUCCAUGCACCCACGUCUGCACAGCCGCAUGGCCACGUUUUGGUAUGCAGAUACACAGAUGCAGGGACCAGUUAAGAUUCCCAUGUCCAACACAGGUGACAAGGAGAUGCCCAGCGAAAUAAAGCAGAAUUUGACAUGAAGGACUCAUCUCUGUCUCUGCUCUUUGAGUGACGGUAAGUACUAUGAGAAGUAUGACAGAGCCAUGUAGGAAUGAGCUACUCACAGAUGUAACAUUUUUACCUGUACAGAUGAAGUGAAAGCUGCGGUAAAUGCAGCGAAAGCUUUACAUUCAUUAAAUGACAAGGGAUACUGAAACAGUAUUUAUUAAGCCAUUAGAAUGAACUGAACACGGCUCAUUUACUGCUUUACAUCUUCCUGGAGUCUUUAUUUAAAGACAGGUCAUUUAAUUAAUUAGCGUGGCGAAUGGGUAUUUUUACAUGUCUAAUUUUACAGUAUGUCUAUGGAGUUAACUGUGCCUAAUUGUGUGUGUCCUGGAAUGUGUGCGCUCAUCGUAGUUGUCUUUUUGUCUGACUGUGCCUCCAUGUGUGCCCAUGUGCCAACGCAAGUGUGUGCCCAUAUGUGGGUGUAUGAGUGCUCCACUGUUACUCUGUGCCUGCGUGUGCGCCCAUGUGUGUUGUGUGCAGCCUAUUAGUGGAGUUUAACCCCUGUGUUCAGGGAGUCACAUCCCCUCAACCCACCGGGCUCCAUUCUUACUGCAGCACGUUAACAUUUUACUCUCUUCCCUCCCCACCCACCCCCUUCACUUUUGUCCUAAGAGGGCAAUUAAGGAAACAAACGUUUUCCCCAAGAUAAGCUGGCUGCCAGCUUUGCAUACUAAUGCAAUGCCAAGUGGUUACAAAUAGUGAGUGCUCUAAUUACUGCCACUGUUUUCAAUCAGAAAUUGCUCAAUUUCCCAGGAUGAGGUCUCCAUGGCUGGAGAAAAAAAAAAAAGCAAAACCUGACAGAGGCAAGAGACAAUCAUCUCUAUGUGGAGUGUGGCUGAUUUUGUCUGCGUGUGUGUGCUCAUGUGCCCGCAUGUGUGCACGCGUGUUGGUGCAAAUAAACUCAUCUGUCUCUCUGUGUGUAGACGCCGGCACGACCCUUUCUAUCACUGCUGCCCUUGACAAGUCAAGAAAUGGAUCCUGUCAGCCUCUACAGCAUUUAGCACCACAAUUAUCCCCUUUUCACAGCCGGGCUGCAUUAAUGUAAACCACACCAGGCAGUAGUUGCCACUCAGUGAUGAGCACAAUGUGGUGCACCAUCUCUGGGUGAGCAAUUUGGUUCAAUUGUGCUGCUGUGUGAUCAUCAGUGCAAAUCACGGCCUGCUUAUUUAUUAAGCAAUUUCUGUUGGAGAAAAUUAGAAGGAAGACUCUUUUAAUUUGGCAGGAGAUAGUAAAACCUCUAAAAGGAACAAUAAUGCAUAAUGUGGCUGACAUCAAACAAAAAAAAGCAAGCAGGUUUAACCCGCAGCAACCCAUCAGGGAGGUGUGUAGCAUUCGGAAAGGAAUAGCCACCGUCGUGUGGCCACCAGGAGUGGUGGGGCAGCGCGGACCAAAGUGACAAGGACUCGCUCCCCGGGUGUGAGAAUGAGUCACUCCGUAGGAUGCACGCAGGACCCAUCCGUUGGCCUUAGCUGACCUUUCGCUCCGACGGUGGCUAAUGGAGGGCUGGCCCUCGAUCAAUGCACUGAGAGACUGGGUUCAUCUCUGCCCUUUCACCGGGCCAGGAAGGGACGGAUGCUGCCAGAAGCCACGCCGCGGAGCCAUCGACCCUGCCACUCUCCCAUCCUGUGGGUGACAGCUGCGGUGCCAAUGGGCCUGGGGACGCCACGCUGCCCUGCCACGCAGGAAGGACAGCCAGCAACUCUAUCUCUGUGGUGGUGGGAGGGAAAGUCACUGAUGAUCUGCUUGUGAAUGUCAGAUCCAUGUAAACAACCCCAGCAAACACUUUGGUGUUGAGUAGAUGUUGAUAUGAAGGCCUGCACCAGUGUUGACAACUUGCAUUGCAAGAUGAAACUUAGUCCUCCAGAGCUGCUAGUUUUUAUUGCCCUUAUAUCCAGAUGUAAGAUGCAGUGCAUAUUAGGGUUGGUGUAAACAUAAGGACAGUUUUCAUCCAGUAAAUGCAUGCUUCAUAUCGUCAAAACAGAUUUCACUUACUUGCUUCAACAUAAGUUGAAUAGAGGUGAUUACACCUAGAUAUUACAAUAGUUUUCAAAAGCUGAAAAUGACUGUUCUGUUUCGUCAUUAAAGAAUUGAUCAAAUAAAGCCCGACUCCAAAUGUUGGAAGUUGUUUGCAUUACUUUUGCACUUAAAAUGUUACCGUAGGGAAUGUUUUCUCAUGCAGCUUUACAACCCAGAUGGCGCACCGCUGUAUACCUUUUAUCUGCCCUUUUUUUGUCAAUAAACAAUGCCUGCACAAAAAAAACAACACAAACAAUAUUUACUGUGCAUUUUAAUUGCAAAGACUUCAAUUACAACAUGUAAAGAUACUCAAAACAAUAGCAGAUAAAACACACACUCCAUAUGGGGAGAGAGGCGAAGACAUCCAAGAGGUUUAGCACCGAUUGUUCUUUUUAUUAUCAUUAACGGUAAUGUGAUUCUAAAGCCCCCCGUGACCUCCUCACAGCAGCAUCUCAUCUCAGAAGUCAUUCAUUAGAACAAACAGAAGGCAGGCAGAAAGACAGCGAGAAAGAGACAUGGGGAGAGAGCAUAGUGUAAAAUAAAUUAGAUUGUGCUUAUUAGAUGAACCACUUUAAGAUGGUAACAGAAAGCAUGCUUCAGAAAUUCAAAGGGUUUCUAAUUGUACAGUGCUUGGAGAUGGAGCCGUCAUGUGGAGACCGUGAUCCAGUUGUUGGUCUUGUGCUAUGUGUAAUCACAGUCACACUUACUGUCCAUUUUGGGUUGUAAGGCCCACAGGGAGCCUUGAAACAUGGUUCUGAGCAGUGCAUGUUUGGAUUGAGAUUGGGCUACAGUGUUUCUGUUCAAGACCAUGGGCUGAUGUGGGCUGUGGUGAAACUAAUCAGAAAGCUUCUUAUGUCUUCUUCCUCUGAUAUAAAUGGAUUGUACGGUCCUCCAUGAUUUGGCCCAGUGUUUACUGAAUAACAUUUCUUACACUGGAGUGACAGUAAAGGCCACCUCUCUCAAUUAAGCCCCCUUGGUUCCUUCUCCGUAAGAGCAGUCUGACGGCGUUUCUUUCUGGGCCCCCCCCCCGGUGCCUCUUAUCGUACCAGUCCUGUAAUGGUCGACCUCUAUACAUGUUCAUGUGUGAAUGUACACAUAUGUGAGGAUAAAAUAGGAUGCAGAGCGGUCAGAGGCUCAGUUGGGCCGGGGCGGCGGAGGAGGGGGAGGAGAGGGGAGGGGGGGUUGAAGAGAGCCGUGUGGAUCCUUGGAGUGGUGUGACAGACUCCCCAGCCUCCUGGUAGGAUUUGUUGGAAUGUGAGAGAGGAGGAUUUUAGCACCAGGCGAGCCACGCCAGAGUGCUGCAGACUUCAUGCCAUCUGUCUCAGCCUCCAUCCUCUCUUUGCCAAACUCAUCAGACCUUUAUUUCCUCUCCCUCUAUCUCCUUCUCAUCCCUGUUCACAAGAGUAGCGGACAUACUGAGAUCUGCUAAUGUAUUGGAGGGAAAAAAAAUGGCUGGGCUUAAUAAACGGAUUCAAAAAAAAAAAAAUCUCGAUUAAUAUGUAUUCCUGGAGCUAAUUGUCCGACAGCCCUCAUGGAGAUGAAAUGUGUGUUCGAUAGCCCUGCCAUUUGUUACUUGACCAACAGGGAAGGAGAGAUGGAGAUAUUCAUACCAUAGCAGAUCUGUUGAUCAGUUAAUAAUGAAAUAUGUUUCAAGUGAGAGCCAAAAAGUAAAUGCAUCAUUACAAACAAUUACCUCAUUAACUUUUGUAUUAUACUGUAUCAUGCAAUGAACAAUAUCUGAAUAAAAUAUAUCCUAUAAAUGAAUAAUGCUCUGU
Anarrhichthys ocellatus (wolf-eel) is the source of this 4173-nucleotide long non-coding RNA. RefSeq lists it as uncharacterized. The record is from RefSeq and is a predicted model, not a curated record. The transcript has 3 exons. NCBI's taxonomy places the organism in Eukaryota, Metazoa, Chordata, Actinopteri, Perciformes, Anarhichadidae.